This 642-nucleotide long non-coding RNA is filed under the name Homo sapiens (human). RNAcentral's name for it is "HSALNT0316224". The record is from RNAcentral. Lineage: Eukaryota; Metazoa; Chordata; Mammalia; Primates; Hominidae.
GUGAUAAUGCAUUAACAUUCUGGCUGGUGGUGGAGGCUGUGCUGUGCUUUAGAGAAAUAUAGCAGGGAAGAUGUGCUGCCUCUUUGGCAGAAAAGAGGGCAAGAUCAGCAUGAGAGAGCCUGCAGAUUGCUAUAAACUAAUCAUUGGGACUGUACACUGUGGUGGCUGACCUAGAAGUCAGAUCAUUCCCUUACGGAGUCUAAAUUUCAAACAUUGUCUGUCUGUGAGUAGGACUUACAUUGAAAGAGUGGUCAUCAGAGAGAACUAUGGACCACAGCCACAGAAGGAAGUUUUGCCAGCUUCCUUCACCACUGCCAUUCAGAGGUGCUGUUCUGGAGCCCUCGGUUGCCACUUGGAAGAGACUUUUUAUGAUCCCACUUUUGCUCUAAUCAUGGCUAUGUAGGCCCCAGGUCAAGUGGAGUGCUGGGCUGGUGACUGAUGGCCCUGUCAAGGUCCAUUAGAAGUAGUACUUAAGUACUUUCUUAGGUCAUUAGUAUUAGGCAACAAGAAUGGGGGAUUUUGGCUGGGGUUUAGUAAACAUGACUUUUCUUAAAGCUUUUGCAAUUUCCUUUUGUGUAUAUGAAGUGAGGAAAAAAGGCCACGGAAGAUAUUAAGCAUCUAUUCCUCAUUAAUGUCUUUGGG